This 253-nucleotide ribosomal RNA is filed under the name uncultured bacterium. Its description in RNAcentral is "partial 16S ribosomal RNA". It matches the Rfam family "Bacterial small subunit ribosomal RNA", at positions 524 to 776 of the family's 1533-position model. The record is from RNAcentral.
UACGUAGGGCGCAAGCGUUGUCCGGAAUUAUUGGGCGUAAAGAGCUCGUAGGCGGUUUGUCGCGUCUGCCGUGAAAGUCCGGGGCUCAACUCCGGAUCUGCGGUGGGUACGGGCAGACUAGAGUGAUGUAGGGGAGACUGGAAUUCCCGGUGUAGCGGUGAAAUGCGCAGAUAUCAGGAGGAACACCGAUGGCGAAGGCAGGUCUCUGGGCAUUAACUGACGCUGAGGAGCGAAAGCAUGGGGAGCGAACAGG